This is a non-coding RNA of Meleagris gallopavo (turkey), 1353 nucleotides long. The record is from RefSeq and is a predicted model, not a curated record. NCBI's taxonomy places the organism in Eukaryota, Metazoa, Chordata, Aves, Galliformes, Phasianidae.
CGCGCGCUCCCGCGGAGGGGAGCGGGGCUGGGUGUGUGCAGGGGGGAGGAGGACAGAGGGCUGCCCUAAUGGCCUGUACCCGUAAUCAGAUCAUGGCUUUAGGGGAGGAGCGGUCAGCAGCCACAAAUGCGGCGGCAUUAAAAGAUAGACUGGAAACGAGGCCUGGAGUGAGGUCACCGCUUCACACGGCGCCGCGAUCGCAGAAGAGACUGCGGGGCUGAGGGGAGGGGACGGCAGGGCAGGAAGGCGGGCGCGGUCCUCUGCCGCCUCAGCCCCCCGCUGCCUCAGCCCCAUCUCUCAGUCCGCUUUUUUUUCCUUAAGCGACAUUAAUUUAACUUCAUCCACUGUCCUCCCCCGCGGCGUGGCUGAAAGGCUGAAGUGCCCUCCUUAGUGUUUAAAUGUAUUCCCCUCCCGAUGCUUUGCUGCUUCUGCGUAACUGAUAAGUUGGGAUGUUUUUUACACGCAAGAGAUUUGUUUUUAAAACCCAAACGCCUAUUUUAAAUGUAUUUAUCCAUCGUUUUUGCUUUUUGCUCAAGUACUGUCACCUUCCUGGUUGCCUCAGGCGCUAUUCUUGUUCUUGCUUAAGAAUAUCUCUUGUAGACAUUGAUGAGAUUUUACCUGCACGUAGAUACAGUUCUGUGUGCCAAUUAAUUUUUUGUCAUCUCAAAGAGAGAGAACAAUUCUAUGCUGUCUUCACUACCUGAUGUGGUGCACAAAGCUCCUUUAUGGUAGCCCACCAGUGCUUCCAUUUCUGCCGUCAGUUCUGUGGUCUGAUACCAUUAGUAGCAUAAAGGUACUGCUUGCCUCCUGUAGAACAGCCGCUUCAGAUUUGAUGAAUGCUUGCCUCUACUCGUAUCAGCUGAAAUGUUUCUAAUACAAAGCUCUGACAGUGAGAAAAAAACUGCUUAUACUUUCAGCACAGAGAGAAGCAGCCUGAAGUCAGUAGUCGGAGGAUUUAAGAGUAGCACGUUUCUAUUGUCUGAGAACUCAAUCAAGACCUGCUUCUUGACCAACCAGCUGCAAAAUAUUUACAGUGCAAAGAGAAGAGGCAUGGUAGUCUGUCUUAUGACAGCAAGACUGUGCUUCCAAAAGAAUCCAUUCUUAUGUAAAAUAAUGAAAAAGCUAUCUACCAAGCACUGUCUUCUCACGUGUAUUUUUGUUCAUUGGGCAAACAUUAUAGUCAGAGCUGAAGUUCCACAUCCUUUUUGUCAUAGAAUCAGAGAGUGUCCCCAAGGUUGGAAAAGACCUCUGAGAUCAUCCAACUGUCCACCUGUCACCAAGAGUUCUCAUUAGGCCAUGUCCCUCAGCAUGAUGUCUAAACGUUCCUUGAACACCUCCAAGGUCAGUGAUUCC